CAAUUUCAAAUAAUACGUUUGCGAUUGUUUUUUCAUUUGUAGGGUGGAACAAGUGCAGUCUCUAAUAUGAUCCACCGUUGCGUAAUUCUACAAAAUUCUACAAUAAACUCAAUUAUAUUGAUCUCUGUAAGAACGUAAGGCUUAAGUAUUCAUUUAUUUAGCAGCUGUUGUCACUUGUCUGUUACUGGUUUACUACCCUGUCAAUAGAAUCACCAUCUACAAGAGACAGAAGCCCACGACUGGACGACCGAGCCGGCGACAAAACACGAAUGAAAUGUAAUAAUAUACUUUUAGUAGAUAACGAUCAACCGUUGUAUAAUACACGGUAAAUACAACACAUUAUAUUUGAUAUUCGCAUUUGGAAUAAUUUUGAUGUGAAAACAGACGGAAUUUAUAAUCGUAAUAUACGUAAUAUUUAGUUAUCUUUAAUAUUUAUACAUAUAUAUAUUUAUAUAUUAAUCGUAGUGUAAGGGGGCACAGCAGAACACUGACUGAUAAGGCGGUAUCAUAUAUUAUUAUAUUAAUGAUAUAUUAAUUUUAAACAUAUAGGUAGUAUUGUCGUAUUGACUACGGGACACAUAGAAAACUAUAAUAGAAUUAAGGACUUUCUGUACAUAAAUAGAUUGUAUUUACUACCUAAUUAUUAUUGGUUUUUUACUUUUAUAUAAAAAUAUAAUGUGAUAUUAUAUUCAAAAAUUGCUUUAAUUAAUAUGAAGGACGUUGAAGUUUUUGUAAAUAAAAUAUACAACAUUGACCGUUGUAGUUUUCAACAUAAAAUAUGCAAAUUUUUCAUUUAUGCGCCCUCCCAGGAAUUGCUAUCGAGGCGUAGGCACCUUUCACACCAUUUUUUAAUAACUAUUUGGGACUAAUAAUGGAAGGAAUAAUUGCACAAACUGAAAGUAUCGCUACGAAACGCGCGUUGCAACUGAACACUUCAAUGCUUAUCUGUGUAUAUUUCGGACAUGUGCGCGUAUACAGGGUAAUCGCCGUUACAGCGGCGUUAAACGCGCGUUGACAAUAAACAUGCAUUAUCAUCUGUACGGUUAUUAGAAAUUGUAUAGUAAUUGUAAACGCGCGUUUAACGCCUUUCGCGCGAACUAGCUCUUAUUCUCAAUUCAGUAGCCACAACUGACACAACUCACAACAUAUACAUUUAUCCAUAUUGUACCGAUGUAUCCGCAUGCAGUGUGGUCGUGUGGAUACUUUAAUUUUUUUUAAUCUUGGAAAGACUGUGGUACAUUUUAACAGCUGUUAUUUAGCUAACUGAAAGUAUUCAAACAUAACUGAUAAUAUUUUCGAGAUGUCGCCUGUUGAUCUCGUAAACAACUUCGCGAUGUGGGUUUAGUAGUCUUGUUUGAAGUAAAAACGUGUUUCUAUAUUACUUCCAUAGUUCUAUGAUGAAAUACAAAUCUAAAUUCAUCAAAAGUAGUUGGUAAGUUUAUUAUCUUUACAUUCGUAAUUUAACUAGGUAUUCCAGAGUAGAUUCCCAAGUGCAAAUAGUUUACUGACUAAAGAUAAUGACAUUUUUAUAUAAUAUAAUAAUUAGGUUAUAUUUAUUAAUAUUAUUAUAGUUCAAUAAGUUUUAAACUGCAUACAUAUUAAUAAGGUGAUUCGAGAUAUACUGUUUAUGGUAUGUAAAUUAAACACAAAUAAGUUAUGACUUUUAAUAUAUAG
This is a non-coding RNA of Cinara cedri, 1674 nucleotides long. NCBI's taxonomy places the organism in Eukaryota, Metazoa, Arthropoda, Insecta, Hemiptera, Aphididae. The record is from the annotation of a GenBank genome assembly.